This is a non-coding RNA of Odocoileus virginianus texanus, 301 nucleotides long. The record is from RefSeq and is a predicted model, not a curated record. NCBI's taxonomy places the organism in Eukaryota, Metazoa, Chordata, Mammalia, Artiodactyla, Cervidae.
CCCGGAGCCAACUGCCGCCGAGAAGCUGGGCCCGGGCCACGCCCCCACCCAAGACUCCGCCCCCUAAGAGAUUAAUGAGAAAUGUGAGCUUCCAAAGGAGACAUCCUUGUCUGAGCUGUCAUAUGUCCAAAGGAAAUGGAAUUAAAAAGCCACGUUAACAGGAGAAGCCUCAAACCAUGUAUCAGUUACACACAAGCCGUGUCUGUCCGAUCCCCCUGCCCUCUGUCGAGUUCAUCAAAGCUUCUGCUGACUCAAGAGGAAUCUGGAGAAUGAUCACUGCGGUGGAAGUACCAGAUCAUCC